AUUGAACGCUGGCGGCGUGCUUAACACAUGCAAGUCGAUCGGUAACAGGUGUAGCAAUACAUGCUGACGAGAGGCGGACGGGUGAGUAAUGCUUGGGAAUCUGCCUAUUAGUGGGGGACAACCCGGGGAAACUCGGGCUAAUACCGCAUACGCUCUACGGAGGAAAGCCGGGGACCGCAAGGCCUGGCGCUAAUAGAUGAGCCCAAGUCGGAUUAGCUAGUUGGUAGGGAACGGCCUACCAAGGCGACAAUCCGUAGCUGGUCUGAGAGGACGACCAGCCACACCGGAACUGAGACACGGUCCGGACUCCUACGGGAGGCAGCAGUGGGGAAUAUUGGACAAUGGGGCAACCCUGAUCCAGCGACGCCGCGUGGGUGAAGAAGGCC
RNAcentral lists this ribosomal RNA (386 nucleotides) under uncultured bacterium. Its description in RNAcentral is "bacterial SSU rRNA". It matches the Rfam family "Bacterial small subunit ribosomal RNA", at positions 29 to 416 of the family's 1533-position model. The record is from RNAcentral.